Molecule: ribosomal RNA, 705 nt
Filed under: uncultured bacterium
Lineage: Bacteria
Description: bacterial SSU rRNA
Rfam family: Bacterial small subunit ribosomal RNA
Source: RNAcentral
AGAGUUUGAUCAUGGCUCAGGACGAACGCUGGCGGCGUGCCUAAUACAUGCAAGUCGAACGGGGUAUGUCUUGGUGGUAACACCUCGGCAUAUCUAGUGGCGAACGGGUGAGUAACACGUGAGAAACCUGCCCUGAAGACGGGGAUAACAGGAGGAAACUCCUGCUAAUACCCGAUAUCCCCAUCGGAUCGCAUGGUCUGGUGAGGAAAUGGAUUCCGCUUCAGGAGGGUCUCGCGGCCUAUCAGCUUGUUGGUGGGGUAACGGCCUACCAAGGCUUCGACGGGUAGCUGGUCUGAGAGGACGAUCAGCCACACUGGGACUGAGACACGGCCCAGACUCCUACGGGAGGCAGCAGUAAGGAAUAUUGCGCAAUGGGCGAAAGCCUGACGCAGCAACGCCGCGUGCGGGAUGAAGGCCCUCGGGUUGUAAACCGCUUUCAGUAGGGAAGAAAAUGACGGUACCUACAGAAGAAACCCCGGCUAACUCCGUGCCAGCAGCCGCGGUAAUACGGAGGGGGUUAGCGUUGUUCGGAAUUACUGGGCGUAAAGCGCGCGUAGGCGGACUUUUAAGUUAGAGGUGAAAUCCCAGGGCUCAACCCUGGAACUGCCUUUAAUACUGGGAGUCUUGAGUUCGAGAGAGGUGAGUGGAAUUCCGAGUGUAGAGGUGAAAUUCGUAGAUAUUCGGAGGAACACCAGUGGCGAAGGC